CCUACGGGGGGCAGCAGUGAGGAAUAUUGGUCAAUGGACGAGAGUCUGAACCAGCCAAGUAGCGUGAAGGAUGACUGCCCUAUGGGUUGUAAACUUCUUUUAUAUGGGAAUAAAAUGUUCCACGUGUGGGUUUUUGUAUGUACCAUAUGAAUAAGGAUCGGCUAACUCCGUGCCAGCAGCCGCGGUAAUACGGAGGAUCCGAGCGUUAUCCGGAUUUAUUGGGGUUAAAGGGAGCGUAGGUGGAUUGUUAAGUCAGUUGUGAAAGUUUGCGGCUCAACCGUAAAAUUGCAGUUGAAACUGGCAGUCUUGAGUACAGUAGAGGUGGGCGGAAUGCGUGGUGUAGCGGUGAAAUGCUUAGAUAUCACGAAGAACUCCGAUUGCGAAGGCAGCUCACUGGACUGCAACUGACACUGAGGCUCGAAAGUGUGGGUAUCAAACAGGAUUAGAUACACUUGUAGUC
RNAcentral lists this ribosomal RNA (460 nucleotides) under uncultured bacterium. Its description in RNAcentral is "partial 16S ribosomal RNA". It matches the Rfam family "Bacterial small subunit ribosomal RNA", at positions 338 to 795 of the family's 1533-position model. The record is from RNAcentral.